UAGUCCAUGCUGUAAACGGUGGGCGCUAGGUGUGAGUCCCUUCCACGGGGUUCGUGCCGUAGCUAACGCAUUAAGCGCCCCGCCUGGGGAGUACGGCCGCAAGGCUAAAACUCAAAGGAAUUGACGGGGGCCCGCACAAGCGGCGGAGCAUGUGGAUUAAUUCGAUGCAACGCGAAGAACCUUACCUGGGCUUGACAUACACCGGAUCGGGCCAGAGAUGGUCUUUCCCUUUGUGGCUGGUGUAC
Molecule: ribosomal RNA, 245 nt
Filed under: uncultured bacterium
Lineage: Bacteria
Description: partial 16S ribosomal RNA
Rfam family: Bacterial small subunit ribosomal RNA
Source: RNAcentral